Long non-coding RNA from Sphaeramia orbicularis (orbiculate cardinalfish), 256 nucleotides. RefSeq lists it as uncharacterized. The record is from RefSeq and is a predicted model, not a curated record. Lineage: Eukaryota; Metazoa; Chordata; Actinopteri; Kurtiformes; Apogonidae. The transcript is spliced from 3 exons.
UCUGAUUACACGCAUCCACUAGCUCCUGUCCCUCACCCUUUUCUUCUGGAAUGGUGACAAAUUCUUCUGCAAUUUGAGCUUUCAGGCAGUCCCACUGGCAGACCAUCUUGAUGCAGUGUGCAACAUCAACCCUAACAAAACAAGUUGCACCUGCACGAAUCCAUUCUGUCAGCCACUGUGUGAUAGCAUGAACAUCAUGUCUCUCCGACAACAUUUGCCCCACUGGGACACUUGAGCUGUUAAGCCCUGUCAGAAC